AAGUCGUAACAAGGUUUCCGUAGGUGAACCUGCGGAAGGAUCAUUAAAGAAUAUCGAGCUUCACAGCUCUUAUUCUCACCCUUUGUAUAUCAAACUUUGUUGCUUUGGGCAGCCUGGCCUUUACGGGCCUGGCCAGCAGGAACCCGAACCUAGAAUCUCUGCCGUCUGAGUACUAUAUAAUAGUUAAAA
RNAcentral lists this unclassified non-coding RNA (189 nucleotides) under plant metagenome. RNAcentral describes it as "partial contains small subunit ribosomal RNA and internal transcribed spacer 1". The stretch from base 1 to 46 matches the Rfam family "Eukaryotic small subunit ribosomal RNA", at positions 1786 to 1831 of the family's 1831-position model. The record is from RNAcentral.